RNAcentral lists this ribosomal RNA (254 nucleotides) under uncultured bacterium. RNAcentral's name for it is "partial 16S ribosomal RNA". It matches the Rfam family "Bacterial small subunit ribosomal RNA", at positions 524 to 776 of the family's 1533-position model. The record is from RNAcentral.
GACAGAGGGGGGCAAGCGUUGCUCGGAAUCACUGGGCGUAAAGGGCGCGUAGGCGGGAUGGCAAGUCGGUCGUGAAAUCUCUCGGCUCAACCGAGAAACGUCGGCCGAUACUGCCGUUCUUGAGGGAUGCAGAGGAGACUGGAAUUCCCGGUGUAGCGGUGAAAAUGUGUAGAGAUCGGGAGGAACACCGGUGGCGAAGGCGGGUCUCUGGGCAUUUCCUGACGCUGAGGCGCGAAAGCGUGGGAGCAAACGGG